RNAcentral lists this small nucleolar RNA (56 nucleotides) under Thermococcus sibiricus MM 739. RNAcentral describes it as "Small nucleolar RNA sR34". It matches the Rfam family "Small nucleolar RNA sR34". Lineage: Archaea; Methanobacteriati; Methanobacteriota; Thermococci; Thermococcales; Thermococcaceae. The record is from Rfam by way of RNAcentral.
GCCGAUGACGAGCGUUAGCCACUCUGAUGAGAUGAAGAAAAGAGGGUUACCUGAGG